UGGGGAAUAUUGCACAAUGGGGGAAACCCUGAUGCAGCGACGCCGCGUGAGCGAAGAAGUAUUUCGGUAUGUAAAGCUCUAUCAGCAGGGAAGAAGAAAUGACGGUACCUGACUAAGAAGCCCCGGCUAACUACGUGCCAGCAGCCGCGGUAAUACGUAGGGGGCAAGCGUUAUCCGGAUUUACUGGGUGUAAAGGGAGCGCAGGCGGAUGGCUAAGUCUGAUGUGAAAGCCCGGGGCUCAACCCCGGGACUGCAUUGGAAACUGGUUAUCUUGAGUGUCGGAGAGGUAAGUGGAAUUCCUAGUGUAGCGGUGAAAUGCGUAGAUAUUAGGAGGAACACCAGUGGCGAAGGCGGCUUACUGGACGACAACUGACGCUGAGGCUCGAAAGCGUGGGGAGCAAACA
This 404-nucleotide ribosomal RNA is filed under the name uncultured prokaryote. Its description in RNAcentral is "bacterial SSU rRNA". It matches the Rfam family "Bacterial small subunit ribosomal RNA", at positions 355 to 774 of the family's 1533-position model. The record is from RNAcentral.